Long non-coding RNA from Notolabrus celidotus (New Zealand spotty), 1206 nucleotides. RefSeq lists it as uncharacterized. The record is from RefSeq and is a predicted model, not a curated record. NCBI's taxonomy places the organism in Eukaryota, Metazoa, Chordata, Actinopteri, Labriformes, Labridae. The transcript is spliced from 4 exons.
CAAAUUCCUUGUGUGUUCAAGCAUACUUGGCCAAUAAAGCUGAUUCUGAUUCAUAUAUAUAUUGAUACAUCACUUGACUUGAUGCAUUUACUUAUGAAAAAUUUAUUUUUGCACUGUAGGAAUUUCUAAAAAGCUGAACCAGAUAACGAAGCUGAAGGGCUGUGAAAAACUCCAGAAGUGGAUCAGAGGAAUAAAAAACCACAUAUACUGGACCGCAGCUUCAUCAACCACUGGACCAGAGAGAGUGGCAAAGUGGACCUCAACCAUGAACCAUGUCCAAAACAUCCACACACAUGAAAAUCCUCUGUACCCCCAGUGCCAGCACCCACUGCGCCAGACAACGGACAUGGGUAAAUGGAUUUCAGAAGAAAAUCCUGCCUUAUACCGGCUGGAGAAGGUGCUGACAAACAAGAGGACUUUGAAGGAUGUGGAGAAACUGAGCCCUCAUCACCAGACUUCAUCUGUUGAGGCUUUCCACAGCGUCAUCAUUCGUUUCGCCCCUAAAAGUGUCGUCUUUCCCUGUCUUGGAAUGCUGUGCAGACUCUACCUGGCUGCCAUGUACUAGAAUGAGAAUGCUGGCAGACCACAAGCCCAAACAACAGAAGGUGAACCUCUCUUCAAGGUUAACUUUCCAAAGGCCUUGAAGGGGGGAUGCAGAGCAAAACCAGUAAAAGUUGAGCCAACAUACCGGUAUGUUGAUGACAUGUUGGACCUCGUGCUGGAAACAGUAUUUGUGGACCCGUCAUCAUACACUGAGGCUGUGCUUGCCAUCCCCAUCCCUGAAGACCUCUCGGCACAAUACGAGCGGCCUGACAGGGAGGAAGUCAUAGCCAGCCAUGUGUCGCGGUUUAAUCGAGGGGAGGUCUAAAACCCACAUACUGGUUCUCGGCAUCAGGAAACUCUGUCCGGAUCCGUAGCACCACACAGGAUGGAAUGACCACUCUGAUUUUGCGCCCAAAGAAGCCCCAGCACCAGCUUACAAAGCUCCUGUAGGCCAGAUACCUGUAGCGGCUGCAGAAAUUGAACAGUAUUACUGUGUGAAAAAUUGUAUGUGUGUCUGACCCUUUUUUUUUUUUUUAACCCACAUUUGUGGAUAGUUUUUACAGUGUAUUUUUUAGGAACAGCAGCAUUUCUGAUAUUUGCAAAAAUGCUAUUAUAUUUGCACAGAUUGUACAUUAUUUCAUUUUAAUAAAUCCUGAGUUUGUA